This 859-nucleotide ribosomal RNA is filed under the name uncultured bacterium. RNAcentral's name for it is "partial 16S ribosomal RNA". The record is from RNAcentral.
AGAGUUUGAUCCUGGCUCAUAAUCAACGCUGGCGGCGUGCCUCAGACAUGCAAGUCGAACGCGAAAGGCUCCUUCGGGGGCCGAGUACAGUGGCGCACGGGUUGAUAACACGUGGGUAAUUUACCUUUGGGUGGGCGAAUAGCUCCUGAGGCCCUGCUGUCGAGGUGGGAAUUCCGCGGCUAGGAGGUGUAGACAACGGGUCGGCCCCAAUGUGCGCGACAACUUGGCCUUGCAGAAGAGGUGCGGCGCGCAUCGGCGGACAAGCACCAGGGUGGUGUCAGGCGGGGACCGGGGGUGAGUGGGGCGGGCGCCGACGAGCGAGGAGGAGGGGGGAGGCAGGCUGCGGUCCGUGCUGUGAGUGGGAGUGGGGGCUGGGGGUUCGUGGGUGUUCCGCGCGUCGGGCGCGGAUGACUGAGGCAUCAGAGGGUGGUGGGGCCGGGGACGCGGUCCGCGGGUCGUGGUGGUGCUGGCGCCGCCGCUGAGGGCGGGGUGAUGGGUGGUCGCUGCGAAGCGGGGUCGGUGUGCCGGCGAGGUGUGAUGGGUCGGCAUUCCGGGCGGCCGGUGGUGUCUUGGCGCAGAGAGUCGGCAGGGUGGGACGUGACCGAGAGCGGACGAGGGACAGGUCAGGGGGGGGGGCGGGGGUGGGGGGACGGCGGGGCAGGGGGCGUGACGGAGGUCUGGGUGGACUGAGCGACGACGAGAUGCGGGGGGGAGAGCCCGUACGGGCCUAUCCGGGGGCGUGGCUGCCUGUUUGGUAGCGGCAGUGCGAGGGGUCGGCAAUAAGUGUCUCGGUGGGUGCGCCGGUGCCCGUGCGGCCCAUCUUUUACUUGUAUAGAGUUUGUAUUAGAAGCAGCGCGGC